This 465-nucleotide ribosomal RNA is filed under the name Vreelandella stevensii. RNAcentral's name for it is "partial 16S ribosomal RNA". It matches the Rfam family "Bacterial small subunit ribosomal RNA", at positions 338 to 795 of the family's 1533-position model. The record is from RNAcentral. Lineage: Bacteria; Pseudomonadati; Pseudomonadota; Gammaproteobacteria; Oceanospirillales; Halomonadaceae.
CCUACGGGCGGCUGCAGUGGGGAAUAUUGGACAAUGGGGGGAACCCUGAUCCAGCCAUGCCGCGUGUGUGAAGAAGGCCCUCGGGUUGUAAAGCACUUUCAGUGAGGAAGAACGCCUGGUGGUUAAUACCCAUCAGGAAAGACAUCACUCACAGAAGAAGCACCGGCUAACUCCGUGCCAGCAGUCGCGGUAAUACGGAGGGUGCGAGCGUUAAUCGGAAUUACUGGGCGUAAAGCGCGCGUAGGUGGCUUGAUAAGCCGGUUGUGAAAGCCCCGGGCUCAACCUGGGAACGGCAUCCGGAACUGUCAAGCUAGAGUGCAGGAGAGGAAGGUAGAAUUCCCGGUGUAGCGGUGAAAUGCGUAGAGAUCGGGAGGAAUACCAGUGGCGAAGGCGGCCUUCUGGACUGACACUGACACUGAGGUGCGAAAGCGUGGGUAGCAAACAGGAUUAGAUACCCUUGUAGUC